This 253-nucleotide ribosomal RNA is filed under the name uncultured bacterium. Its description in RNAcentral is "partial 16S ribosomal RNA". It matches the Rfam family "Bacterial small subunit ribosomal RNA", at positions 524 to 776 of the family's 1533-position model. The record is from RNAcentral.
UACGUAGGGUCCAAGCGUUAAUCGGAAUUACUGGGCGUAAAGCGUGCGUAGGCGGUCUCGCAAGUCCGAUGUGAAAUCCCCGGGCUUAACCUGGGAACUGCGUUGGAAACUAUGAGGCUAGAGUGCGGCAGAGGGGGGUGGAAUUCCAGGUGUAGCAGUGAAAUGCGUAGAGAUCUGGAGGAACACCGAUGGCGAAGGCAGCCCCCUGGGCUAGCACUGACGCUCAUACACGAAAGCGUGGGGAGCAAACAGG